Molecule: transfer RNA, 73 nt
Filed under: Canis lupus familiaris (dog)
Lineage: Eukaryota; Metazoa; Chordata; Mammalia; Carnivora; Canidae
Also listed under: 1 other name
Rfam family: tRNA
About the family: Transfer RNA (tRNA) molecules are approximately 80 nucleotides in length. Their secondary structure includes four short double-helical elements and three loops (D, anti-codon, and T loops). Further hydrogen bonds mediate the characteristic L-shaped molecular structure. tRNAs have two regions of fundamental functional importance: the anti-codon, which is responsible for specific mRNA codon recognition, and the 3' end, to which the tRNAs corresponding amino acid is attached (by aminoacyl-tRNA synthetases). tRNAs cope with the degeneracy of the genetic code in two manners: having more than one tRNA (with a specific anti-codon) for a particular amino acid; and 'wobble' base-pairing, i.e. permitting non-standard base-pairing at the 3rd anti-codon position.
Source: Rfam by way of RNAcentral
GCCUGGCUGGCUCAGUCGGUGGAGCAUGUGACUCUUGGUCUCAGGGUUGUGGGUUCGAGCCCCACAUGGGGUU